Long non-coding RNA from Podarcis muralis (Common wall lizard), 1578 nucleotides. The record is from Ensembl. NCBI's taxonomy places the organism in Eukaryota, Metazoa, Chordata, Lepidosauria, Squamata, Lacertidae.
AGCACCGAGGGCCUUCUGGCGGUUCCCUCACUGAGAGAAGCGAAGCUACAGGGAACCAGGCAGAGGGCCUUCUCAGUAGUGGCACCUGCCCUGUGGAACGCCCUCCCACCAGAUGUCAAAGAGAUAAACAACUACCUAACAUUUAAAAGACAUCUGAAGGCAGCCCUGUUCAGGGAAGUUUUUAAUGUGUGACAUUUUAAUGUAUUUUUAAUCUUUGUUGGAAGCUGCCCAGAGUGGCUGGGGAAACUCAGCCAGAUGGGCGGGGUACAAAUAAAUUAUUAUUAUUAUUAUUAUUAUUAUUAUUAUUAUUAUUAUUAUUAUUACAGUGGUACCCCGCAAGACGAACGCCUCGCAAGACGGAAAACCCGCUAGACGAAAGGUUUUUCCGUUUUGGAGACGCUUCGCAAAACGAAUUUCCCUAUGGGCUUCCUUCGCAAGACGAAAGCCCAUAGGGAAAUCUCCGGGACAGGGCGUCUUGCCCACUGUCCUCGGACCUCCUCCCACCGCCAGGCUUCGGAAGGCUGCUCUGAAGCCUGGCGGGGGGCGGAGAGGUUUUUUAAAAACCCCGGGACAGCGGAGGACUUCUCCGCUGUCCGGGGCGAUUUUAAAAUGCUGGCGGGCGGCAGCGCUGCCGCCCAGCAGCAUUUAAAAAAACCCCGGGACAGCGGGGGACUUCUCCUUUGUCCCGAGGUUUUUUUAAAAUGCUGGCGUCUUCCCCUUUCUCCCCGGACCUCUUUUGAAGCAAGGGGCGGCAACGCGGAGAAGCGAUCUUCUCCCCGUUGCCGCCCCUUGCUUCAAAAGAGGGGACAGAGGGAAAGGCGCGCGCCUUCCUCUCUCUCCCCCCGGACCCCUUUUGAAGCAAGGGGCGGCAAAGGGGAGAAGCGAUCUUCUCCCCGUUGCCGCCCCUUGCUUCAAAAGAGGGGACAGAGGGAAAGGCGCGCGCCUUCCUCUCUCUCCCCCCGGACCCCUUUUGAAGCAAGGGGCGGCAAAGGGGAGAAGCGAUCUUCUCCCCGUUGCCGCCCCUUGCUUCAAAAGAGGGGACAGAGGGAAAGGCGCGCGCCUUCCCCUCUCUCCCCCCGGACCCCUUUUGAAGCAAGGGGCGGCAAAGGGGAGAAGCGAUCUUCUCCCCGUUGCCGCCCCUUGCUUCAAAAGAGGGGAAGGCUGGCGGGGGGCGAAAAUCUUUGUCCCCCCUGGCUGCCUUCCCGGGAGGGCUUUUAAAUCGCCCCGGACAGCGGAGAAGUCCUCCGCUGUCCGGGGCGAUUUUAAAAUGCUGCCGUGGGGGGGGGGAGCAAAGACUUUUGCCCCCCCCCAGCCUUCAGAAGAGGUCGGGGGACAGAUUGUCCCCGGACCUGGUCUGAAGUCGGUUUCCAUAGGAACGCAUUAAUUGAUUUUCAAUGCAUUCCUAUGGGAAACCGUGCAUCGCAAGACGAAAAACUCGCAAGAAGAAAAAACUUGCGGAACGAAUUAAUUUCGUCUUGCGAGGCACCACUGUAUUAUUAUUAUUAUUAAAGGAACAUUACAAAUCAGGUUAGAAGUGCUAGCAUUAAAGCCAGUAAAACUAAUGGAAGAAAGCCCACG